GACGAACCGAGCGAACGUUGUUCGGAAUCACUGGGCUUAAAGGGCGCGUAGGCGGGCAUUCAAGUCUGUGGUGAAAUCCUCCGGCUCAACCGGAGAACUGCCAUGGAUACUGGGUGUCUCGAGGGUGGUAGGGGUAUGCGGAACUAUCGGUGGAGCGGUGAAAUGCGUUGAUAUCGAUAGGAACUCCGGUGGCGAAGGCGGCAUACUGGACCACAUCUGACGCUGAGGCGCGAAAGCCAGGGGAGCGAACGGG
Molecule: ribosomal RNA, 253 nt
Filed under: uncultured bacterium
Lineage: Bacteria
Description: partial 16S ribosomal RNA
Rfam family: Bacterial small subunit ribosomal RNA
Source: RNAcentral